UACGGGGGGAGCAAGCGUUGUUCGGAUUUACUGGGCGUAAAGGGCGCGUAGGCGGCCAUCUAAGUCAGACGUGAAAUCCCCCGGCUUAACCUGGGAACUGCGUCUGAUACUGGAAGGCUUGAGUAUGGGAGAGGGAUGUAGAAUUCCAGGUGUAGCGGUGAAAUGCGUAGAUAUCUGGAGGAAUACCGGUGGCGAAGGCGGCAUCCUGGACCAUUACUGACGCUGAGGCGCGAAAGCUAGGGGAGCAAACGGG
Molecule: ribosomal RNA, 253 nt
Filed under: uncultured bacterium
Lineage: Bacteria
Description: partial 16S ribosomal RNA
Rfam family: Bacterial small subunit ribosomal RNA
Source: RNAcentral